RNAcentral lists this ribosomal RNA (492 nucleotides) under uncultured bacterium. Its description in RNAcentral is "partial 16S ribosomal RNA". It matches the Rfam family "Bacterial small subunit ribosomal RNA", at positions 30 to 507 of the family's 1533-position model. The record is from RNAcentral.
AUUGAACGCUGGCGGCAUGCUUUACACAUGCAAGUCGAACGGUAACAGGCCUUCGGGUGCUGACGAGUGGCGAACGGGUGAGUAAUGCAUCAGAACGUGCCCAGAGGUGGGGGAUAACGCAGCGAAAGCUGUGCUAAUACCGCAUGUGAUCUGAGGAUGAAAGCGGGGGACCAGGCAGCAAUGUUUGGCCUCGCGCCUUUGGAGCGGCCGAUGUCAGAUUAGGUAGUUGGUGGGGUAAAGGCCUACCAAGCCGACGAUCUGUAGCUGGUCUGAGAGGACGACCAGCCACACUGGGACUGAGACACGGCCCAGACUCCUACGGGAGGCAGCAGUGGGGAAUUUUGGACAAUGGGCGCAAGCCUGAUCCAGCAAUGCCGCGUGCGGGAAGAAGGCCUUCGGGUUGUAAACCGCUUUUGUACGGAACGAAAAGGCUCUGGCUAAUACCUGGGGCUGAUGACGGUACCGUAAGAAUAAGCACCGGCUAACUACGUG